Zingiber officinale is the source of this 538-nucleotide long non-coding RNA. RefSeq lists it as uncharacterized. NCBI's taxonomy places the organism in Eukaryota, Viridiplantae, Streptophyta, Magnoliopsida, Zingiberales, Zingiberaceae. The record is from RefSeq and is a predicted model, not a curated record. The transcript is spliced from 2 exons.
UGAGUACUUGCCAGAUAUGCAGUUGCAUCCUUUGGUCCCGCUCCCAAUAUCAGUGUUGACACCCGGACUUCUAGAUACUCUUGAUCCCAUGCAUCACUUUUAACACAAUUAUGACCCAUAGUAGAUAUUCAUACCUAAUAUUAACAUGGCUAACAAGUAACUGUGGGCAUUUUUAUGGGCAGACACCGCUGGAGUCAAUCUCCAUAGAUGUAGCAGUUUUCUGUUUGUCUUUGAUGGGAACCAACUACCAUAACUAUUUGCUGGAAGCUAAACGAGUUCUAAAGCACAGGUUAGCCAUGCAAUUUUGUUCUUAAUUCAGCGUUCAUGUUCUUUUCUAAAUGUAUUUUAAUAGAUUAGCUACUCAUACCAUGGUGCAGUGGCUGGCUUCUAAUAGCUGAAGUGCGGAGUAGGUUUGAUCCUAACAAUGGUGGAGCUAAUCCUGAUGAGUUUUGCGAAGCCAUUGAACAACUUGGUUUGUCUUUGCUUUCAAAGGAUUUUUCUAAUAAGAUGUUUGUUAUGUUCUACUUCAAGAAAACGG